ACUCAAAGGAAUAGACGGGGGCCCGCACAAGCAGCGGAGCGUGUGGUUUAAUUCGAGGGUACGCGAAGAACCUUACCUGGGUUUGACAUACAAGUGGUAGCCAAAGGAAACUGCGGCGACCCUUCGGGGAGCUUGUACAGGUGCUGCAUGGUUGUCGUCAGCUCGUGCCGUGAGGUGUUCGGUUAAGUCCGCAAACGAGCGCAACCCUUAUUGCCAGUUACAAGUGUCUGGCGAGACUGCCCGUGGCAAACGGGAGGAAGGUGGGGAUGACGUCAAAUCAGCAUGGCCUUUAUAUCCAGGGCUACACACACGCUACAAUGGCGCGUACAAUGCGUAGCGAAGCCGCGAGGUGGAGCCAAUCGCGAAAGCGCGUCUCAGUUCAGAUUGUAGGCUGCAACUCGCCUGCAUGAAGUCGGAGUUGCUAGUAACCGUGUAUCAGCACGGCACGGUGAAUACGUUCCCGGGCCUUGUACACACCGCCCGU
This 484-nucleotide ribosomal RNA is filed under the name uncultured bacterium. Its description in RNAcentral is "partial 16S ribosomal RNA". It matches the Rfam family "Bacterial small subunit ribosomal RNA", at positions 899 to 1397 of the family's 1533-position model. The record is from RNAcentral.